Molecule: ribosomal RNA, 398 nt
Filed under: Salmonella enterica
Lineage: Bacteria; Pseudomonadati; Pseudomonadota; Gammaproteobacteria; Enterobacterales; Enterobacteriaceae
Also listed under: 1 other name
Description: bacterial SSU rRNA
Rfam family: Bacterial small subunit ribosomal RNA
Source: RNAcentral
GGUCUGUCAAGUCGGAUGUGAAAUCCCCGGGCUCAACCUGGGAACUGCAUUCGAAACUGGCAGGCUUGAGUCUUGUAGAGGGGGGUAGAAUUCCAGGUGUAGCGGUGAAAUGCGUAGAGAUCUGGAGGAAUACCGGUGGCGAAGGCGGCCCCCUGGACAAAGACUGACGCUCAGGUGCGAAAGCGUGGGGAGCAAACAGGAUUAGAUACCCUGGUAGUCCACGCCGUAAACGAUGUCUACUUGGAGGUUGUGCCCUUGAGGCGUGGCUUCCGGAGCUAACGCGUUAAGUAGACCGCCUGGGGAGUACGGCCGCAAGGUUAAAACUCAAAUGAAUUGACGGGGGCCCGCACAAGCGGUGGAGCAUGUGGUUUAAUUCGAUGCAACGCGAAGAACCUUAC